CAAUAGCGUAUAUUAAUGUUGUUGCAGUUAAAAAGCUCGUAGUUGGAUUCCUGACCUGGGGUAGCCGGUCCGCCUUGCAAAAGGUGCGCACUGAGCGGCCUCGGUCAUCCUUGAGAAGAGCGGUCCUGGCAUUCAGUUGUCGGGGUCGGGAUUCUCGACGUUUACUGUGAAAAAAUCAGAGUGUUCAACGCAGGCUUACGCCUUGAAUACAUUAGCAUGGAAUAAUGAGAUAGGACCUUGGCGGUCUAUUUUGUUGGUUUGCACGCCGAGGUAAUGAUUAAAAGGGACGGUUGGGGUUCUUCGUAUUCAAUUGUCAGAGGUGAAAUUCUUGGAUUUAUGGAAGACGAACUGCUGCGAAAGCGUCGAACAAGGACGUUCUCAUUAG
Molecule: ribosomal RNA, 385 nt
Filed under: uncultured eukaryote
Lineage: Eukaryota
Description: partial 18S ribosomal RNA
Rfam family: Eukaryotic small subunit ribosomal RNA
Source: RNAcentral